GACGAACGCUGGCGGCGUGCCUAAUACAUGCAAGUUGAGCGCUGAAGGUUGGUACUUGUACCAACUGGAUGAGCAGCGAACGGGUGAGUAACGCGUGGGGAAUCUGCCUUUGAGCGGGGGACAACAUUUGGAAAGGAAUGCUAAUACCGCAUAAAAACUUUAAACACAAGUUUUAAGUUUGAAAGAUGCAAUUGCAUCACUCAAAGAUGAUCCCGCGUUGUAUUAGCUAGUUGGUGAGGUAAAGGCUCACCAAGGCGAUGAUACAUAGCCGACCUGAGAGGGUGAUCGGCCACAUUGGGACUGAGACACGGCCCAAACUCCUACGGGAGGCAGCAGUAGGGAAUCUUCGGCAAUGGACGAAAGUCUGACCGAGCAACGCCGCGUGAGUGAAGAAGGUUUUCGGAUCGUAAAACUCUGUUGGUAGAGAAGAACGUUGGUGAGAGUGGAAAGCUCAUCAAGUGACGGUAACUACCCAGAAAGGGACGGCUAACUACGUG
This 497-nucleotide ribosomal RNA is filed under the name uncultured bacterium. Its description in RNAcentral is "partial 16S ribosomal RNA". It matches the Rfam family "Bacterial small subunit ribosomal RNA", at positions 28 to 507 of the family's 1533-position model. The record is from RNAcentral.